GAUGAACGCUGGCGGCGUGCUUAACACAUGCAAGUCGAACGAUGAAGCCCAGCUUGCUGGGUGGAUUAGUGGCGAACGGGUGAGUAACACGUGAGUAACCUGCCCUUAACUCUGGGAUAAGCCUGGGAAACUGGGUCUAAUACCGGAUAGGAGCGCCUACCGCAUGGUGGGUGUUGGAAAGAUUUAUCGGUUUUGGAUGGACUCGCGGCCUAUCAGCUUGUUGGUGAGGUAAUGGCUCACCAAGGCGACGACGGGUAGCCGGCCUGAGAGGGUGACCGGCCAAAAGGGGACGGGAACACGGCCCGGACCCCUAGGGGGGGCAAGGGGGGGGAAUUUUGCCAAAGGGGGGAAGGCCGGAAGGAGGGCCGCCGGGGGGGGGAUGACGGCCUUGGGGUGGUAAACCCUUUUAGGGAGGGAAGAAGGGAAAGGGCGGGUACCUGAAGAAGAAGCACCGGCAAACUACGU
RNAcentral lists this ribosomal RNA (465 nucleotides) under uncultured bacterium. RNAcentral's name for it is "partial 16S ribosomal RNA". It matches the Rfam family "Bacterial small subunit ribosomal RNA", at positions 28 to 506 of the family's 1533-position model. The record is from RNAcentral.